Molecule: ribosomal RNA, 490 nt
Filed under: uncultured bacterium
Lineage: Bacteria
Description: bacterial SSU rRNA
Rfam family: Bacterial small subunit ribosomal RNA
Source: RNAcentral
AUUGAACGCUGGCGGCAUGCCUAACACAUGCAAGUCGAACGGAGGUAGGGGCAACUCUACUUCAGUGGCGGACGGGUGAGGAAUGCGUCGGAAUCUACCCUAUGGUGGGGGAUAACACAGGGAAACUUGUGCUAAUACCGCAUAAUGUCGAGAGACCAAAGCAGGGGACCGCAAGGCCUUGCGCGAUAGGAUGAGCCGACGCCCGAUUAGCUAGUUGGUAGGGUAAAGGCCUACCAAGGCGACGAUCGGUAGCUGGUCUGAGAGGAUGAUCAGCCACACUGGGACUGAGACGCGGCCCAGACUCCUACGGGAGGCAGCAGUGGGGAAUAUUGGACAAUGGGCGCAAGCCUGAUCCAGCAAUGCCGCGUGUGUGAAGAAGGCCUGCGGGUUGUAAAGCACUUUUGUUCGGGAAGAAAUCAUGCUGGUUAAUACCUGGUAUGGAUGACGGUACCGAAAGAAUAAGCACCGGCUAACUUCGUGCCAGCAGCCG